Molecule: ribosomal RNA, 499 nt
Filed under: uncultured bacterium
Lineage: Bacteria
Description: partial 16S ribosomal RNA
Rfam family: Bacterial small subunit ribosomal RNA
Source: RNAcentral
GAUGAACGCUGGCGGCGUGCCUAAUACAUGCAAGUCGAGCGAACAGACGAGAGUGCUUGCACUCUCUGACGUUAGCGGCGGACGGGUGAGUAACACGUGGGUAACCUACCUAUAAGACUGGGAUAACUUCGGGAAACCGGAUCUAAUACCGGAUAAUAUUUAGCUUCGCAUGACGCAAUAGUGAAAGACGGUUCUGCUGUCACUUAUAGAUGGACCCGCGGUGUAUUAGCUAGUUGGUGAGGUAACGGCUCACCAAGGCAACGAUACAUAGCCGACCUGAGAGGGUGAUCGGCCACACUGGGACUGAGACACGGCCCAGACUCCUACGGGAGGCAGCAGUAGGGAAUCUUCCGCAAUGGACGAAAGUCUGACGGAGCAAUGCCGCGUGAGUGAAGAAGGUUUUCGGAUCGUAAAACUCUGUUGUAAGGGAAGAACAAGUACGUUAGUAACUGAACGUACCUUGACGGUACCUUACCAGAAAGCCACGGCUAACUACGUG